AAGAAACCAACAGGGAUUGCCCUAGUAACGGCGAGUGAAGCGGCAACAGCUCAAAUUUGAAAUCUGGCCUCUUUUGGGGUCCGAGUUGUAAUUUGCAGAGGGCGCUUUGGAGUCGGCAGCGGUCCAAGUUCCUUGGAACAGGACGUCACAGAGGGUGAGAAUCCCGUACGUGGUCGCUAGCCUUCUCCGUGUAAAGCCCCUUCGACGAGUCGAGUUGUUUGGGAAUGCAGCUCUAAAUGGGAGGUAAAUUUCUUCUAAAGCUAAAUAUUGGCCAGAGACCGAUAGCGCACAAGUAGAGUGAUCGAAAGAUGAAAAGCACUUUGGAAAGAGAGUCAAAAAGCACGUGAAAUUGUUGAAAGGGAAGCGCUUGCAGCCAGACUUGCCUGUAGUUGCUCAUCCGGGCUUUUGCCCGGUGCACUCUUCUAUAGGCAGGCCAGCAUCAGUUUGGGCGGUUGGAUAAAGGUCUCUGUCAUGUACCUCUCUUCGGGGAGAACUUAUAGGGGAGACGCCAUGCAACCAGCUCAGACUGAGGUCCGCGCAUUCGCUAGGAUGCUGGCGUAAUGGCUGUAAGCG
RNAcentral lists this ribosomal RNA (573 nucleotides) under Wilsonomyces carpophilus. Its description in RNAcentral is "partial large subunit ribosomal RNA". It matches the Rfam family "Eukaryotic large subunit ribosomal RNA", at positions 59 to 646 of the family's 3401-position model. The record is from RNAcentral. Lineage: Eukaryota; Fungi; Ascomycota; Dothideomycetes.